CCCUUAGAUGUUCUGGGCCGCACGCGCGCUACACUGAUGCAUUCAACAAGCCUAGCCUUGACCGAGAGGUCCGGGUAAUCUUUGAAACUGCAUCGUGAUGGGGCUAGAUUAUUGCAAUUAUUAAUCUUCAACGAGGAAUGCCUAGUAAGCGUGAUUCAUCAAAUCGCGUUGAUUACGUCCCUGCCCUUUGUACACACCGCCCGUCGCUCCUACCGAUUGAAUGUGUUGGUGAGGAGCUCGGAUUGGCAGCAGUUGGUGGUUCGCCACCGGCUAUUGCUGAGAAGUCCUCCAAACCGCCCCAUUUAGAGGAAGUAGAAGUCGUAACA
Molecule: ribosomal RNA, 326 nt
Filed under: uncultured eukaryote
Lineage: Eukaryota
Description: partial 18S ribosomal RNA
Rfam family: Eukaryotic small subunit ribosomal RNA
Source: RNAcentral